UCAAGUGAAGAAGCGCAUACGGUGGAUGCCUUGGCAGUCAGAGGCGAUGAAAGACGUGGUAGCCUGCGAAAAGCUUCGGGGAGUCGGCAAACAGACUUUGAUCCGGAGAUCUCUGAAUGGGGGAACCCACCUAGGAUAACCUAGGUAUCUUGUACUGAAUCCAUAGGUGCAAGAGGCGAACCAGGGGAACUGAAACAUCUAAGUACCCUGAGGAAAAGAAAUCAACCGAGAUUCCCUUAGUAGUGGCGAGCGAACGGGGAUUAGCCCUUAAGCUUCAUUGAUUUUAGCGGAACGCUCUGGAAAGUGCGGCCAUAGUGGGUGAUAGCCCCGUACGCGAAAGGAUCUUUGAAGUGAAAUCGAGUAGGACGGAGCACGAGAAACUUUGUCUGAACAUGGGGGGACCAUCCUCCAAGGCUAAAUACUACUGACUGACCGAUAGUGAACCAGUACCGUGAGGGAAAGGCGAAAAGAACCCCGGAGAGGGGAGUGAAAUAGAACCUGAAACCGUAUGCGUACAAGCAGUGGGAGCCUACUUGUUAGGUGACUGCGUACCUUUUGUAUAAUGGGUCAGCGACUUAUAUUCAGUGGCAAGCUUAACCGUAUAGGGUAGGCGUAGCGAAAGCGAGUCUUAAUAGGGCGUUUAGUCGCUGGGUAUAGACCCGAAACCGGGCGAUCUAUCCAUGAGCAGGUUGAAGGUUAGGUAACACUGACUGGAGGACCGAACCCACUCCCGUUGAAAAGGUAGGGGAUGACUUGUGGAUCGGAGUGAAAGGCUAAUCAAGCUCGGAGAUAGCUGGUUCUCCUCGAAAGCUAUUUAGGUAGCGCCUCAUGUAUCACUCUGGGGGGUAGAGCACUGUUUCGGCUAGGGGGUCAUCCCGACUUACCAAACCGAUGCAAACUCCGAAUACCCAGAAGUGCCGAGCAUGGGAGACACACGGCGGGUGCUAACGUCCGUCGUGAAAAGGGAAACAACCCAGACCGCCAGCUAAGGUCCCAAAGUUGUGGUUAAGUGGUAAACGAUGUGGGAAGGCUUAGACAGCUAGGAGGUUGGCUUAGAAGCAGCCAUCCUUUAAAGAAAGCGUAAUAGCUCACUAGUCGAGUCGGCCUGCGCGGAAGAUGUAACGGGGCUCAAACCACACACCGAAGCUGCGGGUGUCACGUAAGUGACGCGGUAGAGGAGCGUUCUGUAAGCCUGUGAAGGUGAGUUGAGAAGCUUGCUGGAGGUAUCAGAAGUGCGAAUGCUGACAUGAGUAACGACAAUGGGUGUGAAAAACACCCACGCCGAAAGACCAAGGGUUCCUGCGCAACGUUAAUCGACGCAGGGUUAGUCGGUUCCUAAGGCGAGGCUGAAAAGCGUAGUCGAUGGGAAACAGGUUAAUAUUCCUGUACUUCUGGUUACUGCGAUGGAGGGACGGAGAAGGCUAGGCCAGCUUGGCGUUGGUUGUCCAAGUUUAAGGUGGUAGGCUGAAAUCUUAGGUAAAUCCGGGGUUUCAAGGCCGAGAGCUGAUGACGAGUCGUCUUUUAGAUGACGAAGUGGUUGAUGCCAUGCUUCCAAGAAAAGCUUCUAAGCUUCAGGUAACCAGGAACCGUACCCCAAACCGACACAGGUGGUCGGGUAGAGAAUACCAAGGCGCUUGAGAGAACUCGGGUGAAGGAACUAGGCAAAAUGGCACCGUAACUUCGGGAGAAGGUGCGCCGGCUAGGGUGAAGGAUUUACUCCGUAAGCUCUGGCUGGUCGAAGAUACCAGGCCGCUGCGACUGUUUAUUAAAAACACAGCACUCUGCAAACACGAAAGUGGACGUAUAGGGUGUGACGCCUGCCCGGUGCCGGAAGGUUAAUUGAUGGGGUUAGCGCAAGCGAAGCUCUUGAUCGAAGCCCCGGUAAACGGCGGCCGUAACUAUAACGGUCCUAAGGUAGCGAAAUUCCUUGUCGG
Molecule: ribosomal RNA, 1934 nt
Filed under: human gut metagenome
Description: bacterial LSU rRNA
Rfam family: Bacterial large subunit ribosomal RNA
Source: RNAcentral